Molecule: unclassified non-coding RNA, 380 nt
Filed under: soil metagenome
Description: partial contains 5.8S ribosomal RNA, internal transcribed spacer 2, and large subunit ribosomal RNA
Rfam family: 5.8S ribosomal RNA (bases 1-120)
Source: RNAcentral
GAUGAAGAACGCAGCGAAAUGCGAUAAGUAAUGUGAAUUGCAGAAUUCAGUGAAUCAUCGAAUCUUUGAACGCACCUUGCACCCUUUGGUAUUCCGAAGGGUAUGCUCGUUUGAGUGUCAUUGUACUCUCACACUUCCGAUCGUUUGGAUCGGGAGCGGUGGACUUGGGUGUUGCUGCUUUACUGUGGCUCACCUUAAAUGCAUUAGUGCACCUUUCGGUUGGACAUAGUACGGCGUGAUAAGUGUCUUCGCCGGCACCUCACAGAGGGUGGCUGAUCGGGAGCUCUGUGCUUCAUACCGUCCUCGGACAACAGCUGAAAACUUGACCUCAAAUCGAGUAGGACUACCCGCUGAACUUAAGCAUAUCAAUAAGCGGAGGA